UAGUCCACGCUGUAAACGAUGAGUACUAGCUGUUGGAGUCGGUGAAAAGGCUUUAGUGGCGCAGCUAACGCGUUAAGUACUCCGCCUGGGGACUACGGCCGCAAGGCUAAAACUCAAAGGAAUUGACGGGGACCCGCACAAGCGGUGGAGCAUGUGGUUUAAUUCGAUGCAACGCGAAGAACCUUACCUACCCUUGACAUCCUAAGAAGAACCGAGAGAUUGGUUUGUGCCUUCGGGAACUUAGAGACAGGUGCUGCAUGGCUGUCGUCAGCUCGUGUUGUGAAAUGUUGGGUUAAGUCCCGCAACGAGCGCAACCCUUAUUUUUAGUUGCCAUCAUUAAGUUGGGCACUCUAGAGAGACUGCCGCUGAUAAGGGCGGAGGAAGGUGGAGACGACGUCAAGUCAUCAUGGCCCUUACGGGGUAGGGGCUACACACGUGCUACAAUGGGGCACUACAGAGGGCUGCGAAGGGAGCGAUCUGGGAGCGAAACUCACAAAGGGUGUUCUAAGUCCGGGAUU
Molecule: ribosomal RNA, 518 nt
Filed under: uncultured bacterium
Lineage: Bacteria
Description: bacterial SSU rRNA
Rfam family: Bacterial small subunit ribosomal RNA
Source: RNAcentral